GAUGAACGCUGGCGGCGUGCUUAACACAUGCAAGUCGAACGAGAAGUGGAGACGGAAACCUUCGGGCGGAAGACUUUAUUUCGAGUGGCGGCCGGGGGAGUAACGCGUGGGUAACCUGCCUCCUACAGGGGGAUAACAGUUGGAAACGACUGUUAAUACUGCAUAAGACCACAGCACCGCAUGGUGCGGGGGUAAAAACUCCGGUGGUAUGGGAUGGACCCGCGUUUGAUUGGCCGGUUGGCGGGGUAACGGCCCACCAAAGCGCCGAACGAUAGCCGAACUGAGAGGAGGACCGACCACAUUGGGACUGAGACACAGCCCAAACUCCUACGGAAGGCAGCGGUGGGUAAUAUUGCACAAUGGAGGAAAACCUGAGGCAGCGGCGCCGCGUGAGUGAAGAAGUAUGUCGGUAUGUAAAGCUCUAUCAGCAGGGAAGAAAAUGACGGUACCUGAGUAAGAAGCCCCGGCUAACUACGUG
This 478-nucleotide ribosomal RNA is filed under the name uncultured bacterium. RNAcentral's name for it is "partial 16S ribosomal RNA". It matches the Rfam family "Bacterial small subunit ribosomal RNA", at positions 28 to 507 of the family's 1533-position model. The record is from RNAcentral.